This 211-nucleotide long non-coding RNA is filed under the name Vigna radiata. Its description in RNAcentral is "long non-coding RNA (VRAD_LNC005386)". Lineage: Eukaryota; Viridiplantae; Streptophyta; Magnoliopsida; Fabales; Fabaceae. The record is from RNAcentral.
UCUACAGUAAGCAAAAUAGGAGGGACACAAGUGAUGAGACCAUUUAUAAUUGUUAAAGAAAUAACUAAUAGCUAGUACAGUAAGUUGGUUGUUAAUUCAGGAACAUCUGUUAUAACAUUUCUUUAAUGGCUAGUGUUUAUUCUUCAGCUCAUGUAGGUAUUGUUGGUUUGUAACUAUUCAAUGGAAAAUUGUGUGACUGAUAACACGAGAA